This 451-nucleotide ribosomal RNA is filed under the name Nerita aterrima. Its description in RNAcentral is "partial 16S ribosomal RNA". It matches the Rfam family "Bacterial large subunit ribosomal RNA", at positions 1913 to 2597 of the family's 2925-position model. Lineage: Eukaryota; Metazoa; Mollusca; Gastropoda; Cycloneritida; Neritidae. The record is from RNAcentral.
CAGUGAUCACUUUAACGGCCGCGGUACCCUGACCGUGCAAAGGUAGCAUAAUCAUUUGCCUUUUAAUUGGAGGCUAGUAUGAAUGGUCUGACGAGAGUAAAACUGUCUCAUAUAUAUUCAAUAGAAAUUAACUUAAAGGUGCAAAGGCCUUUAUUUACUAAAAAGACGAGAAGACCCUGUUGAGCUUUAAUCUAACAUCUUUUCUAUAUUAAUAAAUUUAUUUUGCUCGCUAAAGAUUUUAAUUGGGGCGAUUAAGGAACAACUAUUAGCUUCCUGAAUAGUUAAAUCGAUCCAGCAGUGCUGAUCAACAAAAUGAGUUACCACAGGGAUAACAGCAUAAUUCUUCUUGAGAGCCCAUAUCGAAAGAAGAGAUUGUGACCUCGAUGUUGGACUAGGGUAACUAGAAGGUGUAGCCGCUUUCUUGUUUGGUCUGUUCGACCAGUAAUUCCCU